This 274-nucleotide ribosomal RNA is filed under the name uncultured bacterium. Its description in RNAcentral is "partial 16S ribosomal RNA". It matches the Rfam family "Bacterial small subunit ribosomal RNA", at positions 523 to 796 of the family's 1533-position model. The record is from RNAcentral.
CUACGAAGGGGGCUAGCGUUGUUCGGAAUUACUGGGCGUAAAGCGCGCGUAGGCGGACUGAUCAGUUAGGGGUGAAAUCCCAGGGCUUAACCCUGGAACUGCCUCUAAUACUGUCAGUCUUGAGUUCGGGAGAGGUGAGUGGAAUUCCUAGUGUAGAGGUGAAAUUCGUAGAUAUCGGAAAGAACACCAGUGGCGAAGGCGACUUCCUGGCCCAAUACUGACGCUGGGGCGCGAAAGCGUGGGGAGCGAACAGGAUUAGAAACCCUUGUAGUCC